Molecule: ribosomal RNA, 254 nt
Filed under: uncultured bacterium
Lineage: Bacteria
Description: partial 16S ribosomal RNA
Rfam family: Bacterial small subunit ribosomal RNA
Source: RNAcentral
UACGUAGGGGGCAAGCGUUGUCCGGAUUUAUUGGGCGUAAAGAGCUCGUAGGCGGUUUGGUAAGUCUGGUGUGAAAUCUCCACGCUCAACGUGGAGGGGCCACCCGAUACUGCCAUGACUGGAGUCCGGUAGAGGAGUGUGGAAUUCCCGGUGUAGCGGUGAAAUGCGCAGAUAUCGGGAGGAACACCCGUAGCGAAGGCGGCCUGCUGGGCUGUUGCUGACGCUGAGGCGCGACAGCGUGGGGAGCAAACAGG